RNAcentral lists this unclassified non-coding RNA (11638 nucleotides) under Homalodisca vitripennis (glassy-winged sharpshooter). RNAcentral describes it as "uncharacterized LOC124357617, transcript variant X2". Lineage: Eukaryota; Metazoa; Arthropoda; Insecta; Hemiptera; Cicadellidae. The record is from RNAcentral.
AGGAUUGAAAUUAAUAAUAAAUUUUGAAGUCAAAAAUGGCGAAGAAAUCAGAAGUUCUAAAAGAGAACACUCACAAAGAAAAGGCUCAUACCAGUCCAGUAUGGUCGUACUUCAAAGUUUGUGAGGAUAACCCUGUGUGGGCAGACUGCUUGUUGUGUGGGGUGCGUAUGUCACGAGGCGGCACUGCCCCAAACCGUUGUGGCACUACCAACUUGCGACGUCACGUACUGUGUUCUCACAACAUUACCCUACCUUCAGCUAAGCCAGGUGUCAAAUUUGAUGGUCCUCAAAGAAAUCUAAGGAAAAAGCAGUUAAAAUUAAUGCCUUCAGUUUUGAACAAAAGUGCCCCAACAACACACAAGAAAGCAAAGCCUAAAGUAAAAAAGUGUCCUGCACCAUUACAAAAAGUAAAACCAACAAAGGAGCCUGAGGAUAACCUAGUACCUGAAGUUGAACCUGUUAUGUGCAUUAGGUGGAACACUUACCUGAACAAUAUGACAUCAACCCUACCAGACCUGCUGCAUGACGAACAGUUUGUUGAUGUCACUUUAGCGUGCGAAGGCCAAUCUCUCAAGUGUCACAAGAUUUUGCUAGCUGCGUGUUCACCGUACUUCUACGAGCUGCUGAGCGGAGCUGCGUGUAAACACCCCAUCAUUAUGUUCAAGGACUACCACUUCUGGGAGCUUCAGGCUCUCGUAGCCUUCAUGUACAGUGGUGAGGUCAACGUACCUCAGUCCCAGCUGCCGAGAAUACUCAGAGUUGCAGAAGCUCUUCAGAUCAAAGGAUUAGCUAAUCCUUCGCCGAAUGCAGAACCACCUCCUGAUGCUCAUCAGCCUUCCAACGAUCAUCAGAUGUUUAAUGAAACAAGCAAUAAGGAAUCAUCUUUUAGGGAACAAAUAAUGAACAAAAGAAAAAGAAAGCCCUCUCUGCACAAUUGUUGUAAGAAAUUUAAUCCAAAAAAAGUUGUUGCAAAGGGUGAAAUACCACCAGAAGACAUACAUAAUGGAGUAAUGACAUCGGACCAAAGUCUUAACGAUGAGACAACACCUACACCUUCAAGUCCCUUGUUACCCAGUGAAAUGCCAGACAUGCUCAAUGACAUAUUGGGAAUAAAAGAAGAGACGUCAGAUACUACUGAGAGAAUCAGUCUCCCAGAGCCCCAUGCAGUUGGAAGUGUUGAAGGCAUGUUUCCUCUUGAAGACCUGGAAGGAAUGAAGAUGGAAAUAGGAGGAAGUGAACCAGGAAUUGGACGUUUCCUCACCAAUGGACUUCAUGAAGGAGAGCAAUUUGAUUUGUUACCAGAUUUACACCCAGGUAGUUUCACAUUUCAACCACAUAAAACAGAAACCAUAAAAAUCCUGUAUCAUUUUCAAAUUCAGACCCACACAAAAUCAGUUUUCUUUCAUUAUAAUAAAUUUUGUGUAAGUUAAAAAUACAACUUUUAUCUGCAAAUACUGACUGUUAUCAUCAAAUGGAAAAACAGUCAAAUAUUUUUUCUCAUUGGGUGAAUUAAGUAAAGCAUUUGAUACUGUAAGAACAAAGUAUAGAAUUCUUUUAAUAAAUAUAAAUAUUGCUUUAAACAAUAAGUUGUUUCGUUAUAAUUAAAUUACCAAACAAAAGGUUGAAGUAUGUACUGUAUCUGUGUUUCAAUGUAACUGUAAACUCCUCCAAGACUGGCUUCUGGUGUUCAAAAGUAAAAAAUAUAGCUGUGUGUGAAUAUUUUUACUACUUUACUAUAAGGGUAUUUUUAUUAUCUGCAUACAAAACUUAGUAUAUAUUUCACAAAUUGUGCAGGUGUAGUAGGAACUGAACCUGGACUCACUAUCUCAGCAUGAUCUUGAAUUUACAAUGUUCUCUUUGGCAAUAGAUUCAAAUUAUUCUGGCAGGUUAUGUGCCAAUACGCGUUCUGUGACCUUUUGAGUUGUAAUUGUUUAUCUUUGCCUUUUUUCUGCUACUACUAGCACCAUGUUACAUUUUAAAGCCUGCUCUGUUUACAAUAUGACUGCAAGCUGCAAAUUCAUUAAUAUUUUGUUUUGUGAUCGUUUCACCAAAUAAAUUUACAAUUUAAGUGUUUGCCUUUUAUAACAAUAUUAUUUCAAAUAUACAUUUUUAUUUCUAUUCCAUUUUUUACCAAUAUUUUUUAUGCCCGCUACAAAAUCUGUGUCCAUAUAGAAUCGUGCUUAAAUAGUUUGUUUUUAAUUUAAAAGUUGCUAAAAAAGAAUAUAUAUACAGUUUAGCAAUUAUUUUUAUAAUAAGAAUGUAAUUUAAAUAAAUUAAUACAACAAAUUUUAUUCACAUAAAUUUUUAAUUACUAACUUUAAAUUAAAAUCAAACUGUAGGCUGAUUUCUAAACAUAAGGAGUUAACUCUUCCAACUGAAAAACCCCCAUUGCAGUAAUAUAUAUUAGUAGGAAUCCUUUACAUUUAUAUCCAAAUUAAUUGUUAGUUGUGUUACGAGGGUAAUUCGGAAAGUAAGGUCCGUUUUUUUAUUAAAAAAAAACCACAGCAGAUUUUUUCAAAAAACUUGUUUUAUUUUAUUCCUGACAUCAAUUACUAUUUUUCUACAUAAUUUCCAUGUUUGUUUAAACACUUGUCAUAACGAUCUACGAGUUUUUGAAUGCCGGUGUCAUAGAAGUCGGCCGCCGUCGUCGAGUGACCGUACACUUCAUUUAUCUGUGGAUGAAUAUCCGCUGCUGAAACGUUCCUUGCUGUCAAAAACCGUAUCACAGACCGUAUUUCACAGUCGGCGGGACGUUCAAUAGUUUUAAACAUUUUAAAAAGGCACAGAAAACAGCAGACUACAAUGAUUUCACUGCAAAUGGCGUCGUUCUGCGUGCAAUGCAUGCCGGGAGUCAGGCCGCAUGCGCAUUUCGCUGCUCGCUUACUGUUUGUCUGUUUAACGUGAAUCGGACCUUACUUUCCGAAUAACCCUCGUAUAUGCGCCGUUGGAAAAAUUAACCAGGCCAUUGAGGCCAUAUUCAGAGAUGUUACAAAGCAACAGUAAACAAUUGUGAAUAGAGAAUUUUUUAUAUUUACUCAUUAUUAUUACUUAUUUAUAUUUGCUGGAAGUAUGUAUCAGUGGAAAAAAACUUAGUAAUAUGUGUAAGCUUUUCAUUAAAUAAUAACAUUUAACUUUCAUUAGGAAACUACAUUAUCAAUUCAAUUUUUUGCUUUCAGAGAAACAAAUCAAUGAACUAAUUAAAUUAGUUUUAUUUUUGCAACUUGAAUACUAAAUAUUAAAUGAUAUUGGAUUACCUGAACUUAUAAAAGUUCAUCUGUAAAUUAAAAUGUUUCUGCAAAAUGUAGUGAUAUAAACGUUUUGAACAUGCCAUCAUGAGCAAUAACAGAUGCUAAUUUAUUUUCCACAUUUAAAAAUAAUUUAUAUGUUUAAUAAUGUAAAAAUGCCUCUUUGUUGUUACUACAAAGAGACCAAUAAGAAUCAGUUAUCUUUGUUUUAUUCUUAAGGUAUCUGAGAGUGAACAAUAAUUUUGUUAUGUUGUAUGAUUUUUUUAAACAGAAAUAUUUAUUUAUUUAACACGUUAGCUGCCAACCCCAAAAAAUACGUUUUAGUGCUAAAGCGCCAAAUUUUUAAAAGAUAAAUUGUUGUAACCUUUUGUUAUUUUUCUCUUCUUUGGUUACUAAUAAACAUGAUUUUAUGAUUUAUGUGUAUUUAUUACGUUUAUAAAGCGUCGUGCACAUUGGCCCAACAGAGCUUUUUACAAGGCGAUAUAUCACAUAAAUCAUUUACCGUCAGGCCUAUACGCCCGACGCCUGAUUCAGGGAUAUUCCGUUUUGUUGAUGUGCAGCCUGAAUAAUUCCCGCGCUUUAGUUCUCUGUCUGCAAUUACAUCAGCUUAUUUCUAACCCGCCUUUUCCACAUAGCUGAGUGCCAAUUGACGUGUUUUGUUACUGGAAUCCUACAUUGUGUUUUUUUAUAAGUAAUGUUUCGAUAGUUGUGUGCGUGUAUACUAUUGAUCAGUAAAAAUGAGUGGCGAUAUCUUCUUCCGGAUCAAAUCGAACGUAUGAUUGAGAAUCCGUCUUCCCCGGGUGAUUUGUUUGCCGAAAUAAGUGAUGAUGACAGUGUGGAGUCAAUGGUGGUUAGUGAUAUACCGGAUGACACUGAUAGCGACCUAGACUUUAUUCCUGGUACUGAUUCAGAAUAUUACUCUGAUGACAAUCAAGAAUCAAACGUGGAACUUAAUUCUACUGAUGCUAAUGGAACAGUUACAGAUAUCACAGGUACUUCUUUAAUUUCUACAAACGCCAAGGACAAUGAUUUGGGCUGGGAAAUGUUUGAGGGUAAGCAGAAAACGUUUCAGUUCACUCAGACAACAAAAUUUAAUUUUUGAUUACCGAACAACAGAAAACCAAUAGAUUUUUUUCGUCAUUACUUGACAAUAGGCAAUAGGCAAUAGGCAAUACACUUUAUUGACAUGUUCGUUGAGAACAGUACAUGCGUCAUUGGUACAGAUUUCAUGGUUGUAUAAAAAUUACAUAGCUUAAUCUAAGUUACAAGUUUAAAAAUUCACUUUCUGAGUAAAACGGUCUCUCUUGUAGCCAGGCAGUUAAUGCUUUUUUUAAACGUUUGGGUGGUUCAUUCUUUAGGGAUUCUGGAAGUUUAUUGAAGUAGGCUGCUCCCUUAUAUGAUGGUUUCCUGGCUGUGAGGCUCAGGUGGUGUACAGGCAAUGUGAAGUCAAGGACAUGGCGUGUGUGAUACUGGUGAAGGUCUCUGUUUCUAGUUUUUCUUGAGUGUACCGCAUGCAGAAUUACUUCUAGGAUGUACAAGUUUACUACUGUGAGGAUCUUCAAUUUUCUAAAUGCUUCCCGGCAGCUUUCUUGGUAUUGGAGUCCUUCUAGAGCUCUUAUUGCUAGUUUUUGCUGCCUGAGGAUCUUCUCCAUGUUGCAGUUAGCUGUUCCUCCCCAUAGUGCUAUACCAUAUCUGAGAUGUGUUUCAAAUAGUGAAAAGUAGGCUGUUUUAGCUGCGUCUUUAUUGCUAAUCUGUUUAAUUCUGCGUAUUACAAAUAUGCUGGUGCUUAAUUUUUUGCAAAGCUGUUCAGUGUGUGCUUUCCAGGUUAUAUGUUCGUCAAUUAAUAUACCAAGGUGAUUUGUUUGGUUUUUUGUUUCUAGGUCAGUGAUUGGAAGAUGUGUAUUUUUUUGCCUGGUGGAGAAGUUUAUUUGAACAGUUUUAUUGUCAUUUAGCACUAAGUUGUUCGAGAUGCAGUAUUGUUUUGUUGUGAUUAGGGCGCUGCUUAGACUUCUGGCAAGGUGUUGCGUGGUUUUGUUAGAUAUUGUUAUGACAGUGUCAUCUGCGUACAUGGUUGUGUGGCAGAUGCGCUCUAAGUAGUCAGGUAGGUCGUUCGUAAGCAGUAGGAACAGGACCGGGCCCAGCACUGAUCCUUGUGGCACUCCCAUCUGCAUGUCGGCAGUUUUUGACUGAACUUUUUCUAAUAAAUUGUUUUUAGUGUAUUGGAUUUCCACCAGUUGUUUCCUGUUGUUUAGGUAGUUCCAGAACCAAUCUGCAGUUUUAUCUUUUACACCCAUGCUUUUUAGUUUUUGAAGAAGGCGUUUAUGAUUUAAGCAGUCAAAUGCUUUUGUAAAGUCUAAGAAUAAACUAGUAGCAGUGUGGCCCUCUUCCAGUUUGUCUAUGACAUGCUCUAUAAGUUGAAUCAAGGCCGUGGUUGUGGAUCGUCCUUUCAUGAAACCAUGCUGAUGUUUAGUUAGUAGGCUAUUGUGCUCAAGAUAUUGUAAAAGUCUUUCCAGUACUAUUUUUUCAAUAAUUUUGGAGAAGGUGGAUAUGAGUGAUAUUGGUCGGUAGCUAGUCAUGUCGGUGGUUGGUCCUUUUUUGUACUUCGGGUAUACUUUUGCUGUUUUUAGUUUUUCAGGGUAAAUCCCUUGUUGUAAGGAUAUGUUUAUGAUGUGUGUUAGGGGAUCAGAAAUUUCUUCUUUACAGAUUUUUGCUAGUUUUGAUGAGAUGUUAUCUAGGCCAGAUGAGGUUUUUGUUUUCAUGGAGUCUAUUGUUUUCUUCACUUCUUCUUUUGUUGUUGGUUCGAACUGAAAAGUGUUGUUAGUGAGUGGCGGGGGAUUUUGGCUUGUAGUAUUUGUGGCAUUUAAGUGGCUGUUUUGGAGAGUUCUUUGUGCUAUUGAGGAGAAAAAUUUGUUAAAGCAGUCUGCUACUUCUGCAGGGUUGUGAAGUAUUUUUCCAUUGAUUUGAAGGUGUAUUUGGUUGUUCGUUUUGUGUCUGGCUGUCUUCUCUUUGUUUAUUAUUUGCCAUAGGGCUCUGGGCUUAUUUUCUGAGUUACUUAUAUGUGCUGCUACCGACUCUUUUUUGAGCUUUUUGAGCUUUAAGUCGUAGUCCUUUUUCCUGGCUAUUGUCUCUGUUUUGUCUUCUAUUCGGCCUGUGCACUGCUCUUUUUCUAGGGCUCGGAUGUACUGUUCCUUAAGUCUUGUGCAUUCAAUGUCCCAGGUCUGGGUUUUGUUAUGUUUAUUUUUGAAGGUCUUCAGUGGGCAGGUGUUGUCAAGGGUUGCUUGGAUGAUAUUGUGGAAUAUGUUGUAAGCUGCGUCAGUGUUGUUGGAGUGGUACACAGCAUCCCAUUUUUGUUUGGCUAGAGUUGAUUUGAAGUUUUCUAUUGAUUUUUUGUUGAAAUUUCUCUUCUUUGUUUUAAUUUUGGUGGGACAGUGUUUUACUAUGGUUAGUGUGGUUAAUUGUGCUGUGUGGUCAGAGAGGCCGCUUUGGAUUACUGAUGUUUUUACUAAUUCUGGGUUUAUGUUAGUGCACACCCAGUCUAUUGAUUUUGAAGUUUCAUGGGUGAUUCUUGUGGGUGGGAGCUGCAUCCUUACCAAGUCAAAUGCAGCGAGAAGUUCUUUUAAUUUAGUGUUAUCACUGUUCUCCUGCAGAUUGUCGGCAUUAAUAUCACCCAUGACUAUGAUUUUUUUGUAUGUGCUAAGUGCUUUGUCCAGUACAUUUAAUAGUAUAUCGAUGGCAUUGUCUAUCUUUGUGCUUGGCGGUCUGUAGACCCCGAGGACAUUUAUUGUUUCCUUUCUAAGUUUGAUUUCGAAAAGGGCUGACUCACAGAUAAGUUCAGUUUCAUCUGAGCUGGUUUCUAGUAGUUUUACAAAUUUUUGUAGGUCUUGUUUAACAUAGCCUGCCACUCCUCCCUUAAUGUGGUUCUUUCUCGUAAAGCCUCCAACGAGAGAGUAGCCUUCUAUGUUUGUUCUUUCUAGUUUUUCUUGAUUAAGUCCAUGCUCUGUUAAUAUAAUAAAGUCUGGUUUAUUGUGGCUUAAAAAAUGAUUUAGCCUUUCAAUUUUGUUUGACAGCCAGUUAAUAUUCUGGUGAAGGAGAGUGAAUUGAUUAAGAUUUGUGUUUUGUUCUGUUGGUGUAGCUAUUGUUAUGUGUGUUCUUUUCCCUUCAGGCCCGCUUCUAAAAAAGGGCUGUUAUUUGGUAGUGUGGUGUAUUUAGGGUUUUCAGGGGAUGGUAAUUGUCUGUUUGUUUCAGGGUUUAAAAUACUGUUCAGAGGUGGUGGAGGAUGUAGCGAUUUUUGUUUUACAUUUUCCAGUUUUAAUUUUUUAGUUUGCUUAUAGUAUAAGUCAGCUAUGGUUUCACCAGAGUUGAGUUUUGUGGCUGUGAUAGGAGGGGCUAUUGUCACUUUGAAAUUAUUUUUGUAAGUUUCAUUUUCGUGUGUGGAAUUUUCGGUUCGGAGCUUUGUAAUGGUGUGGUCUGUUGUAUGUGACUCUGUAUUUAAGCCUUGGUUCGAUCUGUACUUUGUUAUUUGCAGUGAUGCGCUGUAAACAUUUCUCGUUUUCUGUGUCUUUGAUUUUUUGUGUGGGAUUGGAAAUUCUUCUUCCUGUCCUUGCUUUGUUUGUUUAGGUGUUCUGGAAGUCAUUGGAGUCGGAAGUGUGGCUGUUCUCAGGUCUUCAGUUUUGUCAAAUGUCAUAUCUUCAGUUUUGUUAAAUGUCAUAUCCUGUUUUUGUGUUGUAACACUCAGGUUCUCCAGCUUAUUAAGUCGUAAUUUCAGUUCGGCUAAUUGUGUUAGUACAUACAUGUUUGUAUUCAUGGCCGGUGUUUCAUUAUUGCUUGUCUGUGUUUCUGAGUUUUUCAGUAUUUUUUCAGAUAUUGUGUAUUUGUCCAUUGUGUUUCCCUUUUCAAAGUGAGAUUUGCGUUGCAUUUCUUGAGCCCUUUUUUCUAAUUUGGUAAUUGUUACUUCUUUUUCUUUGUCAUGCUCUUCAAAGUUCUUCUUCAGCUGUUCUUGCAUUUCUUUUUCUUUCACUAGCUGCUUUUCCAGUUCGUAAGCCAGAUUUUCCAAGAAGUUAUUUCUGUUCAGAAUGCGCUCCUUUUCAGUUUCUAGUUGUGCUAUUUGUUCUUCAUAGAUUAGUUCAUUUUUGUUUUCUAGUUCUAAGAUUUUUGCAUUUAGCUUACAGUUCUGUAGGCUAGUUUGGUAUAGGUCUUGUUUAAGUUUCUGGUUUUCAGCAAGUAGCGCACUCCCUACCUCUGCAGCUAAGGUGAGCGAUGUUUCGAGGUCAGCGUUUUCUUGGUUUUCAAAGUUUUUUACUUUGGUUGUAAUUUCCUCUAUUUCAGUAUCAUGGAUUUUAGGGAUAUUUAGGCUCGUGUUAUUUCUUUCUUCCGUCUCUAAGAUGUCGCAUGGGGUGUUUUCAGAUAAUUGGUUCACAGGUGAUUUUGGAAUGUUAAGGCAUUUCUUGCACAUCCAAUUUUUAAUUUCAUUUGUUGUUAGUUUUUUUAGUUGUUUGUCCUUAAUGUUAACACAGCCUCCAUGGUACCAUAGUUGACAUGAGCCAGUGCACUUAAUAGAUGAGUAUUUGACUCCGAUGUCACAGGCACCACAGGGGUAUUUAGAGCCACUAGUUUUAAUUUUGGACAUUUUAAAAGUCAGUUUUUUAGGCUUUGGCUGCCUGUCUGUCGAUUUUUGGUGGACAGGUUUAAUUAAAAUAUGAAUCAAAAAAUCAAAAAAUGAGUCAAAAUAGUUAAAUCAAUCAAGUUAGUAUUUAUUAAAUUUAUUUUAAGUAUUUUUAUACUCCUAUAAAAGAUUAACAAUUUAAAUACACUCAAGCCAGUAAUAUGAGUUUACUAGUAUUUUUACAUAUAUUUAAGGACUGAGUAUAUUUCAAUCAAUAUGUAUGUAUUAUUCUAUAGGAGUGAUGUGGAAGUAAUAUUGUUUUUUAUUUAAUACUUGUCGUUGGUAUUAGAACCACACAAGUCUCAGUGGUAAUCGCAAGUUGUUAUCAGUGGUUAAAGGUCAACUUUCUCUAGCCUUUACAAACUAGAUAGGUUGAUUACUGUUUGUACAGGUGCUUCUCAUGACGGCAUCUGGCUAUUGUAUAGUCCACAUUGUGACUCACGUAGUGCAGUGAUUGUAAAUCUAAGAUAGUUUUUCCAAAUCCUUUUUUAUAUUAGUCAUCUACAAGUUUGUUCAAAAACAUUUUUAUGAAUUUUAAUUUCAAUAUAAAGAACUCACAGUGUUUCCUUGUUAAUUAAUAAGAUUGGAUUAAAUCUUCAGAUACAUGUGAUUUUUAUGCUAGUCUAACCAUACCUUGCAAAUGUACACUUGAUGAAGAUGAGGAAGGAAGAAGAUAAUCAAUUCGUAAUACCGGCCACAUUAUAGCCAAAUGUUCCUAGUCAUCAUGUUUAACUGACCAGUAUAUAAUAACUUUAUAGAUAAUUUUAACUCAGUAUCUAGGAGUUAAUUUUUAAUUGAAAAAAUUACUGAAUUUGCCAUAAUCGAACAUUUUUAGGAUCGUUAAUUAUGUUGUUUUUUUUUUCAAAUGAUUUUCUUCAAUAAUGAACUGAAACAAAGGAAUGUGAAAUGAAAUUAACACAUUCAUGCUCAGUCAACUUCAACAUUUAAUGGCUAACUUAUAUUGAACAUUUUUUGUUUACUUAGGACAGUAAGAUGAGGAAACCCCUCAUUGGAUUUAUAAAAGGGCCCUUGCGCUGCUUCCGGAGUUACAGAGGAUAAUCAGAACAGGUAACAUUAGGGGUAGGGACUGUCUUCUGUCAAGAUCAAAUGAGGGAUAACGGGCAAUAACUCGGUAUUUGUCACUUUGCAAAAAGAGAAGUUUUGCUCUAUUCUAGUCAAAGCAGGCAGUGGAGACCCGGGGGAGACAAUACUUGCUCAUAUGUAUACUAAAAAAAACCUUCAAUAUCAAUGUUACAUGAAAAAUAUUUUCAAAGUAAAAUAGUUGAAAUAAAAUAUUUUUUGUCGUAAAAAAAUUACUUUAUUACAAUUAAUCAAUAAUUAAUAUGUCAAAAAUUAAAUUCUGACAGAAUGCCUUACUGCAGUCGCUUUCCAAAAUAAACACUGCAUUAAACUAUAGAAUUGUUUAUAUGCAUGGAAAGUUUACAAAAUGUGCUAAAACUUUUAUUCAAAGUGUUUUGUUGGAUUGUACAUAUUUUAAAACUAAUGUGGAAAAUUAUAAAAAAAGUGAUAACAUAUUUGUAAUUAUGUAUUAAACCAUCAAGUUUUUUAAAGCAAGUAAUAUGACAUUAUUUGUAGACAAUUGAAUAUGAAAAAUAAAUCUCAAAAGAACAUAUUUGUACAAUUGCUAUUUACAAAGAUAUGACAUGUGAACUAAAAUUUUACAAUGCCUUAUGGGUGGGAGGGAUGCAAGAGUGGUAUGGAUGGAGACUUUCAGUCAUACAAUUGUCUACAUAAUAGUAGUCAAUGGGGAAAAAUUAGCUUUAUAAUAAAUUUUCUUCUAAAAACCAAACAUUGUCUCGAUUAUCAGUUGCUUUAUUUCCUGUGGUUAUCUACGCGUCACAUCCUUAAACUUUUGACGCGAAUGAUGUUUUCUCCAUACACACCGCACAUUCUCUGAUGAAUUCUUACUGCACUAUUUCAUUCGGCAGUAACAAAUGAUGUAGUGACGAAGAUUUUUCAUCGACUAUUGCGCACAUUGCAAACCUGUCAGUGACCGUUAUGGUGAGGGAUUGGAGGUUUAACAGCCCUCAUACCUAUAUAAAAAAGUUUGCUAAUGCUCAGCCAUAUCCCAUGGACAUGCACCAUUAUCAAACUCAAUGUUGCAUAUGUAGAAAUAAAGCUUUGUGGAUAGUUUUAAGUCAACAUGUUAAUUCAUUCUCAAGAUAUUGUGUGGACAGACAGAUAUAAUGUUUUCCAGCCACUCAAAUAAAGUCCUUUCAUGUUUUUAACAUAUUUUUAAUCCAGUGGUGUUUUUUAAUUCGUAAAUCCAUGAAAACCAGUUACUGAAGAAUAUUCAAGAGUUCAGCAAGUGAUAAUAUUGCUGAGCAUGAAUGUACUAAUUUUAUUAAUACAACCCAAUAAUAAAACAACUUGGAUGUGUUCAACCCAAUAAGUUAUAACUACUUAAAUAAAUAUUAAUAGAAGCAUGAUUAUUUUAUUAAGAUGUUUACAUUUGUUUAUUCUAUAUUUUUAUGAAAGUUUUACUUUUAUUGCUGUAUAUAUUUUAUCAGAUAAAUUUCUUGUUACCGUACCAAUAAUUUUUAACGCUAAUAUAACCAAAACAAAAAGUUACCAUUAGUUUUUUCAUUAUAUUUGUUGAGCUAUUAUUGUAAUAUAAAUAUUACAGUUGUACUGGUUUUGUUGUCCCACCACAUGAAAUGUGCGUAAUCAAUCCAAAUUUGAUUAAUUAAAAUAUUUUUAUUGAGUUAAA